This 253-nucleotide ribosomal RNA is filed under the name uncultured prokaryote. Its description in RNAcentral is "partial 16S ribosomal RNA". It matches the Rfam family "Bacterial small subunit ribosomal RNA", at positions 524 to 776 of the family's 1533-position model. The record is from RNAcentral.
UACAGAGGUCUCAAGCGUUGUUCGGAUUCAUUGGGCGUAAAGGGUGCGUAGGCGGCGCGGUAAGUCGGGUGUGAAAUCUCGGGGCUUAACUCCGAAACUGCAUUCGAUACUGCCGUGCUUGAGGACUGGAGAGGAGACUGGAAUUUACGGUGUAGCGGUGAAAUGCGUAGAUAUCGAGAGGAACAUCAGUGGCGAAAGCGAAUCUCUGGGCGACACCUGACGCUGAGGCACGAAAGCCAGGGGAGCAAACGGG